AUUGAACGCUGGCGGCAGGCUUAACACAUGCAAGUCGAGCGGGGGAAGGUAGCUUGCUACCGGACCUAGCGGCGGACGGGUGAGUAAUGCUUAGGAAUCUGCCUAUUAGUGGGGGGCAACAUCUCGAAAGGGAUGCUAAUACCGCAUACGUCCUACGGGAGAAAGCAGGGGAUCUUCGGACCUUGCGCUAAUAGAUGAGCCUAAGUCGGAUUAGCUAGUUGGUGGGGUAAAGGCCUACCAAGGCGACGAUCUGUAGCGGGUCUGAGAGGAUGAUCCGCCACACUGGGACUGAGACACGGCCCAGACUCCUACGGGAGGCAGCAGUGGGGAAUAUUGGACAAUGGGGGGAACCCUGAUCCAGCCAUGCCGCGUGUGUGAAGAAGGCCUUAUGGUUGUAAAGCACUUUAAGCGAGGAGGAGGCUACUUUAGUUAAUACCUAGAGAUAGUGGACGUUACUCGCAGAAUAAGCACCGGCUAACUCUGUGCCAGCAGCCGCGGUAAUACAGAGGGUGCGAGCGUUAAUCGGAUUUACUGGGCGUAAAGCGUGCGUAGGCGGCUUAUUAAGUCGGAUGUGAAAUCCCCGAGCUUAACUUGGGAAUUGCAUUCGAUACUGGUGAGCUAGAGUAUGGGAGAGGAUGGUAGAAUUCCAGGUGUAGCGGUGAAAUGCGUAGAGAUCUGGAGGAAUACCGAUGGCGAAAGCAGCCAUCUGGCCUAAUACUGACGCUGAGGUACGAAAGCAUGG
This 742-nucleotide ribosomal RNA is filed under the name Acinetobacter baumannii Naval-81. RNAcentral's name for it is "bacterial SSU rRNA". It matches the Rfam family "Bacterial small subunit ribosomal RNA", at positions 28 to 764 of the family's 1533-position model. The record is from RNAcentral. Lineage: Bacteria; Pseudomonadati; Pseudomonadota; Gammaproteobacteria; Moraxellales; Moraxellaceae.